AUGACAAAACCAAACCAAGGACAGAGGAGAGGAAAGAUAGAGAAUGUUGGGGGGGGGGUACACAGGAGGUGGACACCCACAUAUAAGGAAAACCGACAGGGAGCAGGGGAGCCGAGAGGGGUUGGGGUGCACAGCAAGGGGGUGACAGGAGAGACCAAAAGUUUGAGAUGCGGGAGGGAAGGAAACAGAACCGGGUUAGGAGGAGAACCUCAGGAACAGCAUCUCUCCCCCACCACCACCACCACACACCCCAAGGAAGAUCUUGGGGAUAACCUUGACUCCUGGAUCCCCAAGAUCUUCCCACUCCUGAGGAGGGGAUCCAAACCCUUCCCCAACCCCCACGGCUGGCUAUUUCAGGACUGGAGUCUGCAGCACAGGCCUUGUGGGAGCCUCAAAAUGUCACUCCACCCUCUGCUUUGCUGCGAGUGCGCGGGGACAUUUCUCAGGCCGAGACAGAUCUGAGCCUUUCAAAGUCAACGGCUGCCCCAGGGAAUCUGACUCAAGCUUCAGACCCGGCCCCACCCUCACCUAUAAGGAAAAUGGAGCUAAAAUCCUCCUCCUACAAGCCUUUCUGGGAGGGGAAAUAUGCUGAUCGUGCAUUUCUUUUCUUUUUUUUUUUUUUUUUUUUAAUCAAUAGUUUCCUAAGCGCCCACAUGCAGGCCUGCCUAUGCAAGUCCCCACAGUGCUAGGUGCCAGCAGGGGGACAGGGCAGUCAACGCGAAAGAAAAUCCCCUGUCCACCCGGGCUUCUGCACGCCAGCGGGCAAGCUGGGUCAAGCAUGCUUUAGUAGCACGACCCACGGCCCUCCGGCCCUCCGUCUGCGGUCCCUGAGGUCACCCCCUCCCCCUCUGCAGAUGGGGAAACCUAGACCCGAAACUAAGGACGGGUGCUAACGAUGGGCAACUGACUGUCUGCAUUCCCUGCAAACCCACGCUGGAACAUUCUCGAACCUUCUCCCGAGAGUCGCCGUCCCCGCCCUAUGAUUGUCCAUGGUGCUGGGGGAGGGGAAGCCCAAGUGUGGGCAGAGGCUCCUCUCUCAGCACAAAACUGCCCCCCCGCCCCCCACUCUGCAAACGAGCCCCCGGAGUCGGAGGUCUCCAGAGGCAACACACACGUGUCUCGGUUCCACCUUCGAGAACGCGAGCUGUCCUGGCCACGGCCCGGGCAGGUGGGCCAACGCCCUUCCUUCUCGCGCCCCCCGCCACCGCCCGCAGGGGACCCCCCUCUCUCCGGGAGGGGGUCCCCGAGGGUCCAGCCGCCAGUGCCCAGCACCGCGGGGCCGGGAUGGGGCCCGCGCGGGGGUGGCGGAGGGGCCCCCGGCCGCCGCGCUUACCAGUAGACGACUCGGACGGCGAGGGCCAUGGCUGGGGACCGCAGCGCGGGCGGGGGCGGACGGCGACCCACCUGCGGCGCGGCC
Molecule: long non-coding RNA, 1417 nt
Filed under: Vulpes vulpes (red fox)
Lineage: Eukaryota; Metazoa; Chordata; Mammalia; Carnivora; Canidae
Description: lncRNA (ENSVVUG00000023362.1)
Source: RNAcentral